GACGACUCUGGUAUUGAUUGGUGCUUGCAUCAUGAUUUACAUUUGAGUGAGUGGCGAACUGGUGAGUAACACGUGGGAAACCUGCCCAGAAGCGGGGGAUAACACCUGGAAACAGAUGCUAAUACCGCAUAACAACUUGGACCGCAUGGUCCGAGUUUGAAAGAUGGCUUCGGCUAUCACUUUUGGAUGGUCCCGCGGCGUAUUAGCUAGAUGGUGGGGUAACGGCUCACCAUGGCAAUGAUACGUAGCCGACCUGAGAGGGUAAUCGGCCACAUUGGGACUGAGACACGGCCCAAACUCCUACGGGAGGCAGCAGUAGGGAAUCUUCCACAAUGGACGAAAGUCUGAUGGAGCAACGCCGCGUGAGUGAAGAAGGGUUUCGGCUCGUAAAACUCUGUUGUUAAAGAAGAACAUAUCUGAGAGUAACUGUUCAGGUAUUGACGGUAUUUAACCAGAAAGCCACGGCUAACUACGUGCCAGCAGCCGCGGUAAUACGUAGGUGGCAAGCGUUGUCCGGAUUUAUUGGGCGUAAAGCGAGCGCAGGCGGUUUUUUAAGUCUGAUGUGAAAGCCUUCGGCUCAACCGAAGAAGUGCAUCGGAAACUGGGAAACUUGAGUGCAGAAGAGGACAGUGGAACUCCAUGUGUAGCGGUGAAAUGCGUAGAUAUAUGGAAGAACACCAGUGGCGAAGGCGGCUGUCUGGUCUGUAACUGACGCUGAGGCUCGAAAGUAUGGGUAGCAAACAGGAUUAGAUACCCUGGUAGUCCAUACCGUAAACGAUGAAUGCUAAGUGUUGGAGGGUUUCCGCCCUUCAGUGCUGCAGCUAACGCAUUAAGCAUUCCGCCUGGGGAGUACGGCCGCAAGGCUGAAACUCAAAGGAAUUGACGGGGGCCCGCACAAGCGGUGGAGCAUGUGGUUUAAUUCGAAGCUACGCGAAGAACCUUACCAGGUCUUGACAUACUAUGCAAAUCUAAGAGAUUAGACGUUCCCUUCGGGGACAUGGAUACAGGUGGUGCAUGGUUGUCGUCAGCUCGUGUCGUGAGAUGUUGGGUUAAGUCCCGCAACGAGCGCAACCCUUAUUAUCAGUUGCCAGCAUUAAGUUGGGCACUCUGGUGAGACUGCCGGUGACAAACCGGAGGAAGGUGGGGAUGACGUCAAAUCAUCAUGCCCCUUAUGACCUGGGCUACACACGUGCUACAAUGGAUGGUACAACGAGUUGCGAACUCGCGAGAGUAAGCUAAUCUCUUAAAGCCAUUCUCAGUUCGGAUUGUAGGCUGCAACUCGCCUACAUGAAGUCGGAAUCGCUAGUAAUCGCGGAUCAGCAUGCCGCGGUGAAUACGUUCCCGGGCCUUGUACACACCGCCCGUCACACCAUGAG
This 1376-nucleotide ribosomal RNA is filed under the name Lactiplantibacillus pentosus. Its description in RNAcentral is "bacterial SSU rRNA". It matches the Rfam family "Bacterial small subunit ribosomal RNA", at positions 65 to 1408 of the family's 1533-position model. Lineage: Bacteria; Bacillati; Bacillota; Bacilli; Lactobacillales; Lactobacillaceae. The record is from RNAcentral.